UUAAAGAGAGUUUGAUCCUGGCUCAGGACGAACGCUGGCGGCGUGCCUAAUACAUGCAAGUCGAACGAACGGAGGAAGAGCUUGCUCUUCCAAAGUUAGUGGCGGACGGGUGAGUAACACGUGGGCAACCUGCCUGUAAGUUGGGGAUAACUCCGGGAAACCGGGGCUAAUACCGAAUGAUAAAGUGUGGCGCAUGCCACGCUUUUGAAAGAUGGUUUCGGCUAUCGCUUACAGAUGGGCCCGCGGUGCAUUAGCUAGUUGGUAGGGUAAUGGCCUACCAAGGCAACGAUGCAUAGCCGACCUGAGAGGGUGAUCGGCCACACUGGGACUGAGACACGGCCCAGACUCCUACGGGAGGCAGCAGUAGGGAAUCUUCCGCAAUGGACGAAAGUCUGACGGAGCAACGCCGCGUGUAUGAAGAAGGUUUUCGGAUCGUAAAGUACUGUUGUUAGAGAAGAACAAGGAUAAGAGUAACUGCUUGUCCCUUGACGGUAUCUAACCAGAAAGCCACGGCUAACUACGUGCCAGCAGCCGCGGUAAUACGUAGGUGGCAAGCGUUGUCCGGAUUUAUUGGGCGUAAAGCGCGCGCAGGCGGUCUUUUAAGUCUGAUGUGAAAGCCCCCGGCUUAACCGGGGAGGGUCAUUGGAAACUGGAAGACUGGAGUGCAGAAGAGGAGAGUGGAAUUCCACGUGUAGCGGUGAAAUGCGUAGAUAUGUGGAGGAACACCAGUGGCGAAGGCGACUCUCUGGUCUGUAACUGACGCUGAGGCGCGAAAGCGUGGGGAGCAAACAGGAUUAGAUACC
This 803-nucleotide ribosomal RNA is filed under the name Listeria monocytogenes. RNAcentral's name for it is "bacterial SSU rRNA". It matches the Rfam family "Bacterial small subunit ribosomal RNA", at positions 1 to 786 of the family's 1533-position model. The record is from RNAcentral. Lineage: Bacteria; Bacillati; Bacillota; Bacilli; Caryophanales; Listeriaceae.